Molecule: long non-coding RNA, 2656 nt
Filed under: Homo sapiens (human)
Lineage: Eukaryota; Metazoa; Chordata; Mammalia; Primates; Hominidae
Description: HSALNT0399819
Source: RNAcentral
AUAGUUACCAUUGUACAUGUGUGUAAUUAGAUUUAAAAUUUAUCCUCUUAACAAAUUAUCACUAUACAAUAUUGUUUAACUGUCAUUACCCUGUUGUACAUUGAAACUCCAGGAAUUAUUUAUCUUUGCUAAUUCUUCUUUAUUCUUCUUUUUGCUUCAUACAAUAGAUAAUCUCAAUUAACCUUCCUUCAAGUUUGCUUAUUCUUUGUUCUGUUGUUGAACCACUCUAAUUAACUUUUCAUUGCAGUAAUUGUACUUUUCAGCUUCAGAAUUUCUAUUAGGUUGUUUCUUAUAUUUUGUAUAGCUUUAUUGAUAUUCUCUAUAUGGUGACACAUCAUUCUUCUGGUUUCCUUUAGUUCUUUGUCCAUGGUUCCCUUUUAACUCUUUGAACAUAUGUUAAGACAGUUGAUUUAAAGUCUUUGUCUGGUAAGUCCAGUGUCUGGGCUUCUUCAGGGACUGUUUCUAUACAUUUCUUAUUUUCCUGCAAAUGGGCCGUAAUUUCUUGCUUCUUUGCAUGUGUCAUAACAUUUUGUGGCAAAGUGGAUAUUUUGAAUAAUAUGACAACUUUGGAAAUCAGAUUCUCCUUCUUCUCCAGAGUUUGUUGUUGCUGCUUGUUGUAGUUUGUUGUUGUUUAACACUUUAAUGGUUUAGACACUUCUCUAAACCAUUUUUGUUAAAGCUAUAUUCCUUGUCAUUGGCCACUGAAGUUUUGUUAUUUUAGCUUAGUGGUCAGCUAGUGAUUUGAAGAGAUUUCCUGAAAUAGUGAGAGCCAAAAGUAUAAAAUACUCUCCCAGUCUUUGCAGGUUGGCUUUGCAUGAGGAACUCCUUCAAUGCUUGGCCAGGUUGUUUAAAACUCUGCCUUAACCUUCACUCCCUCCUUGUGUGGAGCCUAAAAGUUAGAUAGAUGUUAAAGAUUAGAGUCUUUUCAGGUGUCUCUGGGCAUAUGUCCAGCCUGGGCAUGUAUGUGACCUUCUGGAUUUCUUCAUAUAUACAGAAGCUUUUCAAAGUCAUCAUUUCUCCAUGUAUCUCCAUGUGUGCUCUCUUUCUUCCCAGACUUUUCUUGUUGCUUGUUGCUUGCUCCAACUGUCAUCCUUUGUCUCAGGUGGCUAAGGCUAAUACAUUUGCUUUUACAUGCUUUCAACAAACACCAUCUGGAAACUGCUUAUGCCUUGGAGAAAGUUUGAGUCAGGUAAAAGAAAAGCAAGCCCUUGUGCCAACCCUUCAGGGAGCCCAGACAGAUCAAAACACACCACCAUGAUUCCUUGAAAAUAAGUCCAUAUUUCUCCCUCUGAUGCCAGCAACCUGCAUCUGGAAUGUGAGCUGCUGUCUUAGCUGCUACCAAGCUGAUGAUGGGGCAUGGUAAGCAGAAAAUGCAUUUUAGAAGAAAAUGAGUCUCUGAUCUCAGGAUUUGUCUGAUCUCUCACGAUUGGGAUGGCCCAUUCCUAGAGGGGGAGAAGACCUGGAAAACACUGCUAGACCAACUCAAAAUUACAAAGUUUUCCAGAGCUUAUAUGUCUUCUAAGCCAUAUGUCUAUGUCUGCAGGAAUGUAGACAAUUCAGAGGCUUUGUUCCCCAUAAUUUGGAACUUUUCUUCAGAUUUGACCAAGUCGGGUAGAGAUGAUCAAACCUAAUGGGAAAAAGACUGAAACAACAAAAACAGAAACAGGCAAACACAACCAGUAGCUCUGGUGGCCUUUACCUCAGGCUUUGAUGACAGACAGAGGAACCAACAAUCUAACCUGAUGCCUGCCUCUCCCCACGCCAGUGCUGAGGAGCUCCUGCAGAGAAAGCCUGCUCUUCCAGCCCUUGUAUUCAGGACAGGUGCCGGGUGGUCCCUCAAGACCCUUUUUCAGCAGUAAAUCCUACCUGCUUUCACUGAGUUCUCACUAAGUUUAUUUGGUUUAAUCUAGGUUGUCUGAGGUUCCACAACUCAUAACUGAUUUUGUGUUCUAUUUCUGGCCAGCAACUUCCUUGACAUUAUGGAAACUUGAGUUGGGUGGAGUUGUCAGAUUUGAUUUAUUGGCUAUUUUGUUUCUCUUGAAUACGACAGGAGAAGGGAAGCAACAGCUCAUAUCUCCUUGGCUUACCUUCAUACAUAUUAGGGCAUAGUCAUGGGUAAGUAGGUCUUUCAGCAGUAAAAGGAACUCCUGUGUCUGUCCUGAGUUAAGCACAGUGACUAUAAUUUUGACACAGGUAAUACCUCCCACCCACCCUUAUAAGAACCAAGGCUUCUGAUAUGUAGGCUUAUUACAGCCCUAGCUGCUGUGCCUAUGUGUAAAGUGGCAGGCUUUUAUUUACACUAAAUGUAUUUCAGAAUUAUAGAAGCGCCUUCAGAGAAAUCUUAAUUCAACAUGGUUUUAACAUUUGUAUGGAGUGACAGAAGAAAAACAAAACUUUAAUUCUCCAUUAGUCAGUUUUUUCAGUUGGUCACCAAAUUUGGCAUUCUGUGUAUACACUAGGAAUAUUUAGUCUUAGAAGAAAUUUUAACACAAAAUAUUACCAGGUUAAUGAAUUUAUUUAUAAAAUAUUUUAAAUCUAAGGUGCUCCUGCACUGAUAGGUUUAUAGAGACUAAUGGGCACUGACACAAAUUUAAAAUUUAAAAACUCGAGAAUAACUAAAUUAAAAAAAAAAAAUCAGGCCAGGUGUAGCGGCUCA